GUAGUGUGUGUAGUGUGUAGUGUGUGGUGUGUAUUGUGUGGUGUGUAGUGUGUGGUGUGUAGUGUGUAUUGUGUAUUGUGUAGUGUGUGUUGUGUGUUGUGUGGUGUGUAUUGUGUAGUGUGUAUUGUGUAGUGUGUGCUGUGUAGUGUGUGUGUGUGUGGUGUGUAUUGUGUAGUGUGUGGUGUGUAGUGUGUAUUGUGUAGUGUGUGCUGUGUAGUGUGUGCUGUGUAGUGUGUGUUGUGUAUGUGUGUUGGUGUGUAGUGUGUGUUGUGUAUUGUGUAGUAUGUGGUGAUUGACGCGUCAUCUGAUAAACACACAGAGUUAAUGAGCAGCAGAAGAAAUGAAUAUAAAUAGAGGAAAUUAGCAUAACCGUAACAGAAGGGUUUAGCUGUUUGAUCUUCAGUCAGAAUGAAUGUAACUUUAUUCUUAUUUUUAUUCUUCUUUCUCUUCUUCUUAUCACUGUUAUUAGAUCUGCAGCAGAGCAGAGACCUGAACACAGUGAAUAACAAAUAAAACGUCCUCUAGAAUCUGUUACACAUAUAGUAGAUAUGUAAUACAGGAUAUACAGUGCAAUCAAAUCAUCAUAAUCAUCAUCAUCAUCACCAUCAUAAUCAUAAUAAUAAAUUGUGUUUUUGUUUAAAGUUCACAAGUCAUGUAUAAUUACGGUGCGAUUUUGUUUAGAGAAGUUUUUAUUAUUCUUAACUGGAAAAGGUGACAAUAAAUUACUAACAAAAAUCAAUAAAAACAGAAAAAGGACACGUGAGGGACAGAGAAAAAGGAAGGAAGGAAGGAUGGAAGGAAGGAUGGAGAAAUGGGAAGAAGGAAAGAUGGAAGGAAGGAAGGAAGGAGGGAAAGAAGGAGAGGUGGAAGGAAGGAAGGAAGGAGAGAUGGAAGGAGGAAAUGCUGAAAGGAAUGAUGGAAGGAAGAAAGAAAAAGAAAGUAAGAAAGAAAGAAAGAGGUUUAAAAAAAAUCUUGGGCAGAGAAAUGAAAGCAAGGGGGAAAAACAGACUGAAGAAAGUGUCAAAGCAAGCAAAACAGAGUAAAGAAGAGAGAACGUGAAAAAGACCGAGCAAAGCGUGAAAGAAAGAAACAAAAAGAGGGAUGUUAAAAGAAAAAGAAAAACUGGGGAGAAACUGGGGGAAAGUAAUGCGUUUUUGACAAAAGUACUGCACUCAUACGGAGCUGAAAGAGACGAGGAGAAAAGAGAGAGAAGAAAGCAGAGAAAACAGGAAGGAAAUGGAGAUCAAGCAAAAGGAAAAAGAGAAGAAAUAAAGAAGAAAAAAAAGAAAAACAACGAAAAAAGAGAAAAGGGAAAAUAACACAAGGAAAGAAACUGUCAUUAGAAGAAAAAGAAAAGGAGGGAAGGAGACAAAAAAGAGCAAGAAGGAAAAGAAAGAAAGAUGUUUGCUAAUAAAUAAGUAUAAUAAUGCGGGUCAGUGUGAAACCGUUCAAGUCAGUGAACUGCACAGUGUCUUUUACCUCCUCUUCCUCCUCUUCCUCCUCCUCCUCCUCUUCCUCCCUCCAUCCUCCUCCACCUCCCGCAGGUGUAAACACAUCCAUCUGCCCCUCGGAGCGUCUCGUUUCCCCUCCGUGUGGUCGAGAGGAGAGAGACGGACCCUCGACCCGAGCCUUCAGCUUUCUGAGAGCUGUCGUCUUAACAAGCGCCGGUGGGAAGAGCCUGCCAGCGCUCAGCUGUCUCCACAGUGAAGGAGAAAACACCAUUCUGAAACAUAAAGAGGACGAUAGUAUGGUGAGGUCGCAGGGGUCACGGUGGGGUCACGGGGGGUUCGUGCAGUCUGGGCACUCGUCUCGCGCUCUGGCCUCCAGGUGAUGUCAUCCAUCUGGCACUAAUUUGGUCCUGAAUUUCCUUCCUGGGUCACAAGGUGUGACAGCUCGCUCACUUUCUCUGGGUUUGCCCUUGUUCAGUGAACACACACACACACACACACACACACACACACACACACACUUCACUUUAACAUUAACUCCAACACUGUACUGUAGCUCUGAAUUUGUGUUGUGAAUCUCACACAGAGCAUUUUCGCAUUAAGUAUGAUUCUCUCUCUCUCUCACACACACACACACACACACACACACACACACACACACACACACACACACACACACACACACAUUAUUAAUGGCUUUGUUUUAAACAUCACAUUAAUGUGCACAAGAUACAGAGAUGUUUAUAAAAACUUCUGAAAAUAAUACUUCAGUAAAACACCAAAUCUACAGUGAUCAGAAGUCAGGAACGAAUGAAAGUACGCUAAUAAUAAUAAUAAUGCAUGAUGAGAAGGAAGGAAGACUGUGAGUGUUAAGAAAGAAAGAAAGAAAGAAAGAAAGAAAGACAAUGUGAGUGUUAAUAUAUAUAUAAAAAGAAAGAAAUUCUGAGUCUUAAUAAGAAAGAAAGAAAAAGAAAGAAAGGCAGGAAUCCUUUUCCUGGAUGCCCUGAGCAGGCAUCUAUAGGCCAAAGAGGAACCUGGCUCGCUCGCUCGCUCGCGCUCGCUCUCUCUCUCUCUCUCUCACUCUCUCUCUCUCUCACACACACUCUCUCACACACACACACUCUCACACACACACUCUCACACACACACUCUCACACACACACUCACAGAGCUGGUCCAGAUGGCAGGCUGUGAUCAUUUAUUUAUGAGGAAGUUCACAGAGUUCUGCUAGCCUGCUCUCUGAGCCACCCAUCCCACACACACACACACACACACACGCACACACACAUAUACAUAUAUACUGUACACACACACACACACCACACUACUGCUGCAGUUAAAAUGGCGGCACCCAUGCACAUUUGGCUAGCAGUCAAAGCUAAGUGUAACUGCAGCAUCAUUUUAAUCAUACAGCGUCUAUUCUUAGCAAUUUAACAACACAUCUGAGGUAAAUGUGAUGUUCUGGAUGGUUCUGUAUCAUUUCCACCGUCACUGUGAUUUUACAAGCCUUAUAAAAGACACCUUAUGACAGAAAGUUGACGUUUUUCAAUACAACACACACGACUGAUGUUUAGCAUUUGAUGCUAAGUGUAAUUACGGUGUAAUUUCAGUUGUACGACGCCUUUUCUUAAUAAUAGCGUUUUUCAAUAUGGUGGCAAAGUUAGCAUUUGAUGCUAAGUGCAAUUACCGUGCAACGUUAGUUGUGGAACGUCUUUUAUUUUGUCAUUUUCCAACAUAUCUGAGGUAAAUGUUAACGUUCCUGGCAGUUGUGUAUUAUUCACAACAAUAUUGUUCGCAUAAAAGUGCUAAACGCUCCCAUGGAUGCUAGCUAAAUCUCGCCAAGUGUGAUUUCUGUCUUGUAAAGUCGUUUCUUAGUAAUUUAACCGCACGUCUGAGGUAAAUGUCGAUGUUCCUGAUAGUUCUCUCGUUUCUACUGCAAGUGACUGUAUAAAUGAUCAUUUAGAGUGUAAUUUUAGUCUAACGAAGUCUUUUCUUAAUCAUUUAACACCACAUCUGAGGUAAAUAUUGACGCUCCUGAUAUUUCUGUCUGGUUUCCACUUGAAUUCACGGUGUAAAUGAUCAAUUACGCUGCGAUUAUAGUCGUACAAAGCCUUUUUUUUUUGUUGCUAAUUUACCAGCACGUUAGAGAUAAAAUGUUGAUGUCACCGUGUCUUUACAUUGUCCGUGUAAAUGACGUAACGUCUACACGUAUUGUACGUGUAUUUCCUGGUGCUCAGAAAGCAAAUAACUUGUGUGUCACAGUGUUUUUCAAUAUGGCGGAGAAGUUAGUAUUUGAUGCUAAGUGCAAUUAAUGUUAGAUAUCUGAGGUAAGUGUCAAUGUUCAUGGCAGCUUGGUAGCUAAAGCUGGAUUUUUAGACAACGACACCUCCAAAAGAAGAAAUAAGAAAUUGUCUGUCCUCACAGUGCCUUCAGUGUAUAUCACACUAUUUUACUUUUCUUUUUUCUUCUUCUUUUUUUAAGAAAUAUACAGCCAUGGAUGGAGAAACAUCAAUCAUUCCCCAUAUGCAAGCUGUAAAUAUUAUGUACACUCCUAAACACAUCACACACGCCUUGAUGUUUCAGGUCUAGCGAGCCAAUUCCUGUUAAACUCCCUCAGCGUGAAGAGGCCACGGCUUAAACACACAGUGUAUAUUUUGCCAGAUGUGGUGCGAUGAAAUAUAAGAGGGACGGGACGCGUGUACACUCGGCCUCUGUCUUCAGUUUCACUUAUAUUCUGUCAGGAAAGUCAGAUUCACGUUUUUCAUCAUGUUUUAUUUUGUUUUUAGGCAGGGUUUCCUGUCACGCCACAGCGGAUCUACAUGCUUCACCGGCCAGUAAGAAAUCCAAACUUUUGUUGUAUGAAUUUUAUUAGGGUCAAUAUUAGACUUUUCCCUUUUUUACCUCCUCUGAAUGUUUUUUUUUUUGCUUUUCGUGGGUUUCUAAAAGCUAGAUGUCAACAAAUUAUAUUAAUAGUAGUAGUAGUAGAAGAAGUAGCACAACAUUACUACUACCACUACUACUACUAACAACAACAACAUCUGGAUAGUCAAUUUUUUGUUCUCUUUUUUACUAUAUAUAUAUAUAUAUAUAUAUAUAUAUAUAUAUAUAUAAGGCACAUAUGGUUCAACAAACCCUCUUAAUAUUAUUAAAAUUAAUAUAAUUAAUUAAUUAAUUAAUAUAUUAAUAAUCAUAUUAAUAUUAUUAUUUUAUAUCAUCAUCGUUGGGUGUAAUGACGUACACAAAUCCUCAUCAAAAUAUUAUAAAGAAUCUAAAUAUCCUAAAUAAAUAUUACAAUUUUUGUUUUUUAUUUAUUUAUUUUUCCAUGUUUGGUUGGGUUCUAUAGAAAAAUAAAACCCGUCUGUCCAUCCAUAUAAACCUUGAAAAUGACAAUGAGUUUCAAUUUUCCCAUGUAUACGAAUGGAAAAUUUCACACGCACGGAUGAUGUUCUCAGCUUCUGUUCUCUUUGUAACGUAACGUUUUAAUUGCUAUGCACAGCACUUCGGUAGCUCGGUGUAGUAAGUGCUAUAUAAAUGACAUUUAUUUUUAUAAUCUAGUUUUCCCUCAGGCGGUUGCAGAGUCAGCAGUUCUGCCAGUCAUCAGCACAGAUUUGAUGGUGCUGCGAAAUCUCCUUCACACAAAUCCAAACCGAAACCCAUAUGUGCCGUUUCUUUCCAUUUCCACACAAACAAAAUCAUAACGUGUUUGUUUACAAUUACGGGCAAGUAGCCGCAUUUUAACAGGUUAAUAAAGAUUUAAUGUUUAGAGGGAAGAGAUUUACACAGCCGCGUCUUUACGAGUCAGUAAAACAGGUGGAGGAAAAUGUGCUUAAUGCAGCCCAUGAGCUGUUAAAAAAUAUUUUUUUCCAUUGAAGUUCCCGCCGUUAACAAGUCCAUAAAGAAACAUUACGGUGUGUGUGGCUUCGCUUUGAGCACAACUGAGCACCAGACUCAAAAUCCUCUAAAGUUAACACGAUUUUUUUCCGUUCACUAAAUUUAUCCACGCAGUGCAUCAGUUUGACCAGAGGAGGCGCUGUUGUAAACAUUAUAUUAUUAAGUUUGCAAUGAACCAAUAUUCAACAAUGGAACAAAUCACUAUCAUGUCUGCGCUAUAAAAUAACGCACAGUGCAAAGAUUCUCUCGACGUCUAACACAUAUAUAAUUGUUCUUUAACAUGUACGUGACCUGGUUUUAAACACAAUUUCACACCAGUGAUACGCCACAUCUGGAAACAACGUCUUACUGUGAUGUAAUGUACAACAUUAUAAGAGAACAGUAAAAAUGUUUGUUUUUUUUUUUAAUCAUUUUGUUAUCACGGUAUACAGUCAUGCUAAUAUAUCUUUAUAUUCCCAAUUUACUCAAUAAAAUAAAUACACUAAUUUUUCUUCUAUCCAGGCAACUUCUACAGCUACUUUAAAAUUUUAACGAGACAUUAAAAAAAAUAAAAACUCAAGCUCAUAUAGUUAAAAAAAGAAUAUAAAAAAGAAAAUACUCAUACUCAAUAUCAUGUGUAUGUAUUUGUUAAAUAUUAAUAACGAAAUAUUUAUAAUAGUAGCAAAAUAAUGUAACUAUAUUAUUGAAUAUUUAACAUCGUCGCUAUCAACAUAGUAAAGAUGAAAAAUCUCGUAAAUGUAACCGAUGGCAAUUGUUAAUUAUGAUAUAAUUCACACUCUUCAAUUCACCCAAUAAGAUUUCAAAAACAAAUGUACUGAUGCUUUGAAUUCAACAUAAACCUUGAUUUAGCGUAAAUUUCUGAAGAUAAACUUCAGGCUUCUAAAACGUUAAAAAAUUAUUCAUUUAUAAAGCUGAGAAAAUAAAAUAUUUGUUUCAAGGAAACGCACCUGGUUAAGUCCUCUGUGGUUCUGACCCACAUCGUCUUCCAUAGUCUGGUUAUCCAUUUGGACCCACUUCGCGCUCCACGUUCUUUGUUUUUGUUCUUUUUCAUCGGUACGUUUUAGAAAUGGUUUUCGGGGACUGUUAAGAAUUUUACAAUUGCAUGUCAUAAUUUGAGCAUUAGUUGUUCGAGGAUACAAUGGCAAAGUGAACUCACAUGAUGAGAACACAUUUACAUGACAUGGAACAUACACAACAAAUUCACUUUAUGAUCAAAGAAUGUUUGAUCAUAGAAUUUUUAACAAAUUCAUUUUAAUAGCAAAAUAUGAACACUGAGUUUAGAAAUAUAUCAUUAGAAUUUGAGAUUAGUGAUCAUUUCUUUAAUCUAUUAAAAUGACCAAAUAGAACCGUAUAAUUCCAAGAUCUUAGCGUGUAUGUAAAUAAUAAAACAAAUACACAGAAUGAUUAAGAGUUACAGAUUUUCAGUUUUAACCUGAAAUUGAUACUAAUAAGUAAAUAAAUACAAACAUAAAUGUGAACAAAGCAACUCGUAGCCUGCUGGAGAUACUUCUAGGAUUAAUUGUAUAUUGAGAUUGUUGAGGAUUUUUGAACUUAAGUGCAAAAAACAAUUUUAUAUUCUUUUUUAAAAUUUUUUAUUUAUUAAUAAAGUGUUUGAGGAUGUUCACACAUAACAUGGUACAUUUAAAUAAUAUAAUAAAACUAAUACUUUUUUUUUUUUUACCAUUUAUGAAAUAACUACCAAUGCAGCAAAUUCAAAAUAGUAAUUUACAUUUGAAGAGCUAAAUAUUUAUAUUUGUAGUCACUCAGUGGUUAAGUUUCUGUGCUAGUGACCAGAACAUUAUACGGCCCUUAAGCAAAAUCCUCAACCCUCAACUGCUCGGCUUUUUAUUUAUUUAUUUCGGUAGUUUCGAUUUUUCACACCGUGAGGUUUUUUUUUGGCUGCCCUUUUGGAACAAUGAAAUCUUUGUUUAAAAAAAAAAAAAAAAAAAAAGGUUUUGGGGAAAAAGAAAAAAACCUCCAGCAUGCUCUCCUCACAAAUCUGGAAAAAAGACGAAGGUCAAAGGUCAUCAUGGUGUGCACUUCUGCCCUUUCUGAUGAGCUCAGCAGUUUUCCCAUGAUGCACUGCACUAGUCUGCCAAGUCCUGUUCAGGCCUGGUUGAUCAUGAUAAAUGCAACUGUGGUACUUCCUGACAAAAAACGAAAGAAAGAAAGAAAGAACCCAAGUUUCUGAGAGGCUCGAGUUUGUAUUGUAUUUGUGCACUCUGUUCAACGAUUGCACGUUGGCUACACUCAAAACCACAACACUAUCAUGCUAACUUGAAGUGGUCCAUGCUAACCGCUAUUAGUAUACUCUUUUCCUUCAGCGCCGUUCGUUGUGCGUAAUCACUUUCAACGCACUGUACGUGACAUCUAUUCAUUUACUAUCACUCGCUGGUUUAUUGGCUUACUUGAGGAUAGAUCUACAAAUAUAAUCACUCAUUAUUCAUUGAAUAAAAUAACCAGCUAGGUCGCCAAGCGAGUUCCCUUUCGUGGCUAGCGUGCCAGUCACACACGUUCGCUAGAUCAGCUUCUAGGUCAUGUGACUUCUGGAAAUACCAACACGAAUUGGACCACAGAGUAGACAGCUAGCUACAAGACAAGCAGUUUGUUUAUUUUAUCAACAGAAUUUUAGUGAACAGCUCAAAGAAAUAUAGAAAGCGUAAGAGUAUUCCAAAGUUGCUGAAACAUAGUGACGGUUAUCUCUCGCCAGUUUAUCGGAUUGCCCAAGAAUGACUCCGCAGCUACCACAGCUAGCUAGCUACGUUUGUACACACAUGCCUCACUGUGGAAAAUGUGGGGAUUUGCUGAGGAGUCUCAGUUCAGUCUCGUCCAUUGAACAGAAUUAUGGGACUAGCUAAGCUACGAACUGAAUAGCCUUUUAAAAGGGGUUCUUCAGACAGGUUCCUUCAGAGAACCUUUAAGAUCUUCCAAUUAGGUGCAUCUGCGUGCUGGUUUGGACAUUUUAUCGUUCCGUCGCUCCUCGAGCAUUCAACAUGAACUUCAAAACUGUUCUGAUUUUCCACUGAGCACGUCAGGGAACUGGGAGCGGGCAACACUCCACGCGCAACCAUUCUGCCGAUGACGUCAUCACGGCUGAUCUUUCUAAUGGUUUUUUUUUCCCCCCCAGCAGCCGUCCUUCAAGCAUCAACGACGAGCUAUAACUCCAGCUUUAAUUGUUGCGCAAAUUGCUCUGCGGUUGCGGAACCACCUUUGUGACGUUUACCAGCGGAGACGUUCAUUGGCCACAACAAACGAGGCUCGUGAGUGUGUAUUCCUUGUGUGCGUUAGGUUCUCAGAGGGUUCUGCGCCAGGAUUUAAUCAGAAGCAUGAGUUUGUGGGGUUUUACACAAACUUUACCGUAUUACAUCUGCCUGCGCUGUUACCAACGUGUACGCGGAACUAAAAACGACGGAAUACCAAAGUGUACGAAAUAUAGCGAAUAACGGCGUGUACAGAAUACUGAAGAUGUACUGCGUACCAAAACGUAUGAAAUGCCAAGGCAUGAGGAAUACCGACGUGUAAGGAAUAAAGUGUACAAAACACCGAAGUGUACAGAAUAUGAAAGUAUUCAAAAUAAGUGUAUGAAACACCAAAAUACGGAAGUAUGCGGAACACAAACGUGUGGGAAAUACAGCAGGAAAGAACAAAGAGUACGGAAUUCUGCACUCCUAUUUCCCAUAGAACAGUUUUUACCCAGAAUCCCCAAAGCAGGAUUAUUACCUUAGAGAUCAGAGAUGUGUUAACUAUCACUUGACCGAACACUGUCCCAGCUGUGCAAAGAAACGCUUUGUGUAAAUCCGACGUGUAAACUUCACUCAGGUGAGGCGGUGCUCGGAAUGCCGCGAUGCUUCAUCACGCUUCAUCACUCAGGUGGUCCAUACAUGCAUUUUUCUUUUUUUUUCCCCCUUCCAUGUGAGACUACGUUCUCGCGUGUGCAUGUGUUGCUCAUUUGUCAAAUUGUCAGAGAAUUUGCAUAAAAAUGUAGUUUUGUGCGUGUACGGGUCUGCAUCUGGCUUCCAGCUGUUACGCACAUCUGUCACGCCGCUAUGGACGUGCGACGCUGUAUAUCGAUACGGCGGUAACGUAUCGACAGUGUAGAACGAUUUCCACGAUCAUCGGUACACCUUUCUGGAGCGUGCUAAUAUUAAAGUAAGGUCAUUUGUGGGUAACUUUCGAAAAUAAUCGAAAGAAAUCUAAAAUUACCCGCAAUCUCCGUCUUUAAUAAAACCUCGUUACGAGUCCCGAUUCCCGUCCGAACGCAAUUAAACGUGAGCCUUGGAGGAUAAAGUAAAGCUUGUUAAUACGUUUCUUUACUGCACUUGUGACCAUAUUAAAUCUAAUAAUACGAUAUCGUGCGUGUGUGUGUGUGUGUGUGUGUGGGUCGUGGACCUGCCAGCUUCUCAGGCAUACAAAAUGAAGUUUUCUCUCAUUAUACAGUCAAAGUCAGACUCCAGCCUCUCAGAGGGACGUCAAUAACAAACAAACUGAAGUGAAUAAAGAUCAGAUUACUGCGUUUUGGCUGCGUAGGCAAAAAAAUAAUAAAUCAACCCUUUCAGCAUUGAUUAUGAUAAAUAGCAGCUCUCGAUGCAACGAGUCGCAACAUGCAUGAGCGAAGGACAACGCUGCAUGAGUUGAAUACGCGAAGAGUACUACUAAGGGAAACGUCUGGAAUCUGGACAGAAGGCGUGACAGAGCAGCCGAAAGUCGUUUAUUUUCAAUUAAGGUUGAUAGAUAAAGUGGUGACGGAAGCAGAGGGAAGUGGGCGGGGCUAGAUGCAUCAAAUCUUAACGGGAUUCACUGAUUUAUCGUGUACGGUAUUACUAAUACAAAUGAUCGACAAGGAUUUAUCCGAUUUCUAGACAUUUUCACAAAUUUGGAAUCAGAAAUCAUCCUUUGUCGGAUCGUUUUGAUAACUCCCGUCGAAAAUGGGAGUGAAUAGUGAAGCGUACGGAGUAGUGAAGUGAACCAAAUGAUGAAGGAUAAGGAAUAGUGACGCGGACGGAAUAGUGAUAAUAUAGUGUAUGGAAUAGUGAAGUGAUUAGCGCAUUUUAGAGCCCUCUGCUGGCUGAGAGGUGAAUUACAGUUACAGCUUACAAGACUUCAACUUCCUUAACCCUAUGGAUGAACGGAUGGUUGAAUGGAUGGAUGGACUAAAAAUGAAUGGAAGAACGGAUGGGGGAUGGUUGGAAGGUUGGGUAAAAGGAAGACUGGAUGGAUGGAUGAAAGGAAGACUGGAUACAAGCCACAUGAAUAGAAGGAUGGACAACUGAAAGGAAGACCUGAAGGGAUGGAUAAACGGAUGGAUGAAAGGACAGACGGAUGGAAGGAUGGAAAGGACAGAUUGUAAAAGAAUGAAGGCAGGAAAGUAAGGAUGGAUGGACAGAUGGAUGAAAGUAUAAAAUAGCAGAUGGAUGGAUGGAUAAAGGGACGCAGGGACAAAUGAAUCAGAAGUAAACAAUUCAGUUUGAUUCAUAAAUUCUUCUCAAAAUCGAAAAAUAAAAAUGACCUCAACCAAACAUCAUACUACAUUUUUAACUGAUGUUAUUUAUUUGAGAUUUUUUUGGGGAUGUAUUAUUGAAAUUUUUCUUUAUGCAUUACACAUUAGAGGCCAGAGGCAGUCCACGUCGUGUCCACGCUGCCCUCCGGCUGUUUUACAUUUUAGAACAAUUUCUUUUGAAAUAAAUUCUCGCUUCAUCUCGGCGACAGAAAAAUAGAAUUAAUACCUAAAUAAAUAAAAACAACGGAGCUCCACAAUCACUGUUUUAUUUCUCCUCAGGUAACAAACACGGCUCUCUCGGAUGGAAAACCCUUUCAUUAUCAUCUAUCGCUAUCGCGCUAAAUCUGGAGAUAUUUACACACUAACAGGCUCCGCGGUCGGAAUUCAUAUCUCCACCUCGCUUAAAUCCCAAACCGGCGUCCUUUCAUUUUUCCCCCUGCUAAAUCUGAGCCGAGUCUGGAUCAUGCUAAUUGCUGGUGGUACCUUGGGGCCUGAGCCAUGAGCUCAUUAUUUUUACCUCCAGAAAGCCCUCACAAACAGCAGGCCCACAGAGGGAGUGUGUGUGAGUGUGUGUGUGUGUGUGUGUGUGUUUUUUCAUAUUCCCCCUAAAGUGUUAGGGAGUUCCUUUUCAUUUCCACAAUAACAAGCAAGUCAAAUAUACUUGCAGCUCAUUUCUCUUACGAAAAGAAAAAAAGGAGGAAAUCAGAGCUAGCUUAAAGCUCACGGAUUAUUUUAUAUCAUUUUACGCAUGAGAGGCGAAUCUUCACUUUAAUUAGCUGCUAUAUUCAGACGCUGACAUUAAAUUUCUGCUUUUCUUUUUUUUUUUUACUCAUUAUUCUCUUUAACACCGCUCCUCUAUUCCCGCUUUUUCUUCUUCUUGUUCUUCUUUUUUUUUUUUAUCUCCGAGAGCUGUGCAUUUAAUUAAGCGGAGGGCAGCAACGACAUCGGCUGACGCUUAAGGAGUCCCCCACCUCCCCCCACCCAAACACACACAUGUACUUUCUCUUAUUUCCUACACGGGCAUUGAUUUUUAAUCUGCACGAACAAUUUACACCGAUCAUCCUGCUCAAAAGUUUACACCCCCCCCCCCCCCGGCUCUUGAUGUGUGGUGUCGCGUUCUUGAGCGUCAGUGAACGUUUGCACGUUGUGUAAUUAGUCGUGUACGAGGCCCUCGGUGUGAAAAGACGGACCUCGACAUCAUAUUGUUGGAAAGGGCUGAAAUAUGCAGAAGACGCUGGAAACGUAAAGAACGUGCAGGACCUGGAGGAUUUCUCUGAAGAACAGUGGGGGGUUUAACUGCUCAGGACGAACACGGGACUCGUGAAGAACUCUCGCAGAACAUAAACACAUCGUGUCGUGGAUCAUCCCGGUAACGACACACGGGGUUAAUAAUCAAGGGUGUGUAAACUUUUGAACGGGGUCAUCGUUAUAAAUUCAGCUAUUAUCUUGUGGACUAUAAUGUAGAGGUGUUAUGUGAAAUAGUUUAUUCAGGACAGGACUAAAUAAACAGCGUGGGGUUUUUAUCAGCCGUCUUAUUUUGUUAACAGUAUUAAGAUUUAGCAGAUUCUGCAAGGGGUACGCAAACUUUUGAGCACAACUGUAUACACACACACACACACCUCCAUCCUCGUAUCUAUCCAGUUAUCCGCUUGAAUAUUCUUUCCUGCUACCCAUUCAUCCAUCUAUUUAUCGAUUUAUUUAUUUAUUUAUUCAUACAUUUACUCAACCUGUAAUAUAUCUGUUUGGUGGAUAGACGGGUGGAUAGACUAAUAGAUGGAUGGAAAUAGGUAAAUAAUUGGAUAACUAGACAAGUGGAUAAGUGAUGGGAUAAAAACAUGGCUGGAUGGAAGAAUGAAUGAAAAAAGACUUGAUAAGCAGGAUGUGUGGAUGGAUGGAUGGAUGGAUAAAAAGAAUCAGGGAGGGAAAGGUAAUCCGUCCAGUAUACUGCUAGGUAUUCAAAUCUACACUGGGAUCUGUCCAACCAGCCAUUGUGAUAUACUGAUCCAUCCAUUCACCCAUAUUUCCAACCACUCAUUUUUUAAUCUUUCUAUCUACCCAUUUAUCCGUCCUUUCAUCCAUCAAUCCAGCCCUCCUUCCAUUUUUUCCCACCAAGCCAUACAACCAUAUUUAUCCAUUCACCUUUCCAUUGUUUUAUAUCCUCAAACCUUCUCAAGCAUUCAUAUCUAUAUAUAUCUUUUUUCCAACCAUCCCAUCAUUAUCUUUCCAUCUAUCUAUCCUUCUGUUCUUUUACCCAUCCAGCACCCAUAUACAUUUGCAUAUGCUCAUCAUUUCAACUCUUCAUCCAUCCAUCCAUUUAUAAUUUUACCCAUCAGUCAAUCCAUCCAUCCAUCCAUCUAUUCAGGCUUUCAACGCAUCCAUUUUUCUACCCAUCAUGUAUCCAUCUACAUUCUGUUAUACAUGUUCAUGCAUCGAGCCAUUCAUUUUUCCAUAUAUAUUUUCCAUUCUUCUUUCCGUCCAGUCACUCGUCCAUCCUAACAAUCUUUUCAUCCAUUUUUCCAUGUCAGACCGUCUGACAUUUGACCUCUAUUUAUAUACCGAUCGAUCAAUCUAUCGGCUCAUCGAUCCAACCCUCCUUCCACUUUUUUCACCAUCCAUCCAUCCAACCAUCCAUAGAUCUACUGUUAGACCUAUUCAUCUAUCCUCCCAUCCAUCCACCCACCCUUUCCUCUGCUCAGCGAUGAUGAAAUCAGAACAGGAAGCCGACUCAGACGGCGUAUAUAGAGCUGUGUGACAUGGUCUGCGAGUGAAAGAGAAUUUGGAGAAUUGGUGUCCUGACUGUGUCCUCUGCUCUAAAUGGAGAACGAUUGAGGAUGAACUUCCAGACCUAAACAGUGUAUAAUUACACAGCUGUUCUCAGGAAAGAGAUAUGGAUGUGGGGAAAGCCCCCGUACUGGACGGAUAUGAACAUUCCCAGGUUCUCAGCUGUGUGGGAAAACUAUGAGGGACGGAGGAGGGAACAACGAAGGCUGUGGGAAAUACUAAGUCUGGAAGUCGCUCAGGCUGUAAAUAAAAUCAUGUGGUUCAUAUCAGCGAGAUCAGUAAAUCCAAACCGCGGAGUUCUCCCCCCGCCGUGCAGAGAUGAGGCUCGUACGGAGGAACCCUCGAUGACCGCAGUGAUGAUAUCCUGCUCGUUAACAUGCGUCUGUAAAAUCAGAAUGAUGAUGAUGCUGCUACUGCUUUACCACGUCGGAUUUAAUAUCCGGCGCAGACGGGCUGCGAGCAUCAGCGCCAACUCGGCAGGUUUUUCUUUCUUUUUUUUUUUUAAAGGCGGGGGGAUUUGGAGGAUGGUCAUGUGACCAGACAGCAGCCAAGCGGAGAGGCUGAAUCGAGGUCGAGCGUAAAGUUUAGUGGGUCAGAGAGGCUGGCAGACGACUGGUGGAAAAAAAAUGUGUGUGCCAGUCCAAGACAAGCUGAGAUAGAGGGAGGGAGGGAGAGAGAGAUAAACAGAAGAGAGAAGGGAGUGAUGAGAAACAAAUCCGAGGGCAGCAAAAGGAAACAGUCUGAUACAGAUGGAAACGUGGGCGAUGAAAAGGGGAGUAUAAAAAAAAACAAAAAAAAAACAGAUUUGAUUUGAAAAUCUAGACGGAUGGAGGAGGCACAGCUAAAUAAGGAAAUGGAUGGAUAGAUGGAGCGUAGAUAAAUGGAUAAACGGAUGAAUACACAGAUACUACGGAAGGGUUCGCUGGAUCAUUAAGGGUUCUUAGCCUCUUAAAGGUUACGGAGAAGGAAACAGAGUGAACAUACUGCAUCUGUAUACUCGAACACAAAAUAAUAUAAUGUAACACACACACAUACAUACACACAUAUAUAUA
This is a long non-coding RNA of Ictalurus punctatus (channel catfish), 14669 nucleotides long. The record is from Ensembl. Lineage: Eukaryota; Metazoa; Chordata; Actinopteri; Siluriformes; Ictaluridae.